CCCUUAGAUGUUCUGGGCCGCACGCGCGCUACACUGACGAAGUCAGCGAGCAUGUCCUACGCCGACAGGUGCGGGGAAUCUUGUCAAACUUCGUCGUGAUGGGGAUUGAUUUUUGAAAUUCUUGAUCAUAAACGAGGAAUUCCUAGUAAGCGCAAGUCAGCAGCUUGCGUUGAUUACGUCCCUGCCCUUUGUACACACCGCCCGUCGCUACUACCGAUUGAAUGGUUUAGUGAGAUCUUCGGAUUGGCGCCACUGCAACUCAGCAAUGGGCUUGGUGGAUGCCGAAAAGUUGAUCAAACUUGAUCAUUUAGAGGAAGUAAAAGUCGUAACA
Molecule: ribosomal RNA, 331 nt
Filed under: uncultured eukaryote
Lineage: Eukaryota
Description: partial 18S ribosomal RNA
Rfam family: Eukaryotic small subunit ribosomal RNA
Source: RNAcentral